This 496-nucleotide ribosomal RNA is filed under the name uncultured bacterium. RNAcentral's name for it is "partial 16S ribosomal RNA". It matches the Rfam family "Bacterial small subunit ribosomal RNA", at positions 28 to 507 of the family's 1533-position model. The record is from RNAcentral.
GAUGAACGCUGGCGGCGUGCUAAUACAUGCAAGUCGAGCGAACGGAUGAGAAGCUUGCUUCUCUGAUGUUAGCGGCGGACGGGUGAGUAACACGUGGAUAACCUACCUAUAAGACUGGGAUAACUUCGGGAAACCGGAGCUAAUACCGGAUAAUAUUUUGAACCGCAUGGUUCAAAAGUGAAAGACGGUCUUGCUGUCACUUAUAGAUGGAUCCGCGCUGCAUUAGCUAGUUGGUAAGGUAACGGCUUACCAAGGCAACGAUGCAUAGCCGACCUGAGAGGGUGAUCGGCCACACUGGAACUGAGACAUGGUCCAGACUCCUACGGGAGGCAGCAGUAGGGAAUCUUCCGCAAUGGGCGAAAGCCUGACGGAGCAACGCCGCGUGAGUGAUGAAGGUCUUCGGAUCGUAAAACUCUGUUAUUAGGGAAGAACAUAUGUGUAAGUAACUGUGCACAUCUUGACGGUACCUAAUCAGAAAGCCACGGCUAACUACGUG